This 490-nucleotide ribosomal RNA is filed under the name uncultured bacterium. Its description in RNAcentral is "partial 16S ribosomal RNA". It matches the Rfam family "Bacterial small subunit ribosomal RNA", at positions 28 to 507 of the family's 1533-position model. The record is from RNAcentral.
GAUGAACGCUAGCUACAGGCUUAACACAUGCAAGUCGCGGGGCAGCAUGGGGGUUGCUUGCAAUCCCCGAUGGCGACCGGCGCACGGGUGAGUAACGCGUAUCCAACCUGCCCUUCACCACGGGAUAACCCGGCGAAAGUCGGACUAAUACCGUAUGUUGUCCAUUGACGGCAUCCGAUUUGGACGAAAGGCUUGGCGGUGAGGGAUGGGGAUGCGUCCGAUUAGCCAGACGGCGGGGUUACGGCCCACCGUGGCUACGAUCGGUAGGGGUUCUGAGAGGAAGGUCCCCCACACUGGAACUGAGACACGGUCCAGACUCCUACGGGAGGCAGCAGUGAGGAAUAUUGGUCAAUGGGCGUAAGCCUGAACCAGCCAAGUAGCGUGCAGGAUGACGGCCCUAUGGGUUGUAAACUGCUUUUAUGCGGGGAUAAAGUGGCCCAGGUGUGGGCUUUUGCAGGUACCGCAUGAAUAAGGACCGGCUAAUUCCGUG